CUUUGCUUGGGUUGUCUCCCAAGAAGCACCUAAUUUAGUGUCGCAACACGACCCAAACAACUUUUUUCUCCACCUUGAGGAUAUAAAUUUUACCCCCAACAUCGCUUCCAUCUCUUUGCCUCGCUCAUAGGGUGAUGGUACAAAAAUUAAAGAAUCAAGUAAUAGAAUGUGCAUGGUAAACCACUCGGCCUUAAAGUGAGGUGUGUUUUUCUGUUGGUUAUCAGGUGUAAAAUCAAGAACAUAGGAUUCUUGUUCCUCAUCUUCACACUCUUCCACUAUUUUAAAUGAUUUCACAAACAAGAUAUCAUCUAAACAUAAUGUAGAAAAGUGCUUUCAGUGAG
This 341-nucleotide long non-coding RNA is filed under the name Capsicum annuum. RNAcentral describes it as "long non-coding RNA (CANN_LNC014115)". Lineage: Eukaryota; Viridiplantae; Streptophyta; Magnoliopsida; Solanales; Solanaceae. The record is from RNAcentral.